This 76-nucleotide transfer RNA is filed under the name Candidatus Bathyarchaeota archaeon. RNAcentral describes it as "tRNA-Cys". It matches the Rfam family "tRNA". Rfam says of the family: Transfer RNA (tRNA) molecules are approximately 80 nucleotides in length. Their secondary structure includes four short double-helical elements and three loops (D, anti-codon, and T loops). The record is from RNAcentral. RNAcentral also lists the same sequence under 1 other name. Lineage: Archaea; Thermoproteati; Candidatus Bathyarchaeota.
GCCGGGAUGGCCGAGUGGUUAGGCGGCGGGCUGCAGACCCGCUUUAACGCAGGUUCAAAUCCUGCUCCCGGCUCCA